UGGAGCUUUGUUGCUUUGGCAGUUAAUAAUUUGUGCAAGGCAUCUCAUUGACUUCAGUGGUGCUGUUUUAACCUAACUCUACUAUGUCUAGUUAUUCUUCAGUAUGCACACAGCAGUUUUAGAGGGUUUCUUGUCCAGAAGUGACCCAAUAGACCUGAUUUAUUAAUAAGUUUAUGGAUGCCUGUUGUGCUUGGAACUGAUCUCAGUAAAUUUACUAUAAAAUUUUCUCUAGUGGAACCAUAUUUCACAUGUAGGAAGACAUGAUGUUAAACACAGUUACUCUUUUGUGUGAAUAAUUUUAGCAGCAAUUGUUAGCACUUGGUGUUGUCAUGCAGUUCCUGCCAGGAGCCAGGAAGUGAGAGUUGUAUUUUACAUUGUCAGUAUAUGCACUAUAUUUUGAGUGUAUUAAAUAGAUGUUCAUCCCUGGCACACUGUAAUCAUCUGUGUUGAGUUCAAGGGUGUCAAGGAACAGAAACUGGCUUAAAGCAAUACUACUGCUGUGUAUACAUUUUUCACACACUUGAUGGUGAUUUUAUGACAUUCAUCAAGUGACUGCUGUAAGCAUCCAUACAUCUGCUAUAAAUUCAUAAUUGAUCUACGUCAGAUAGGACACUGUCGAUUCCUCAUUUACACAGAAGUGUGGAAGACUGACAGUACGCUGACAGGAGAGAAUCAUGCUCCAGUGUCACUCCGUCCAUCAAAAAUUCCACAUGGGCGGCUCUGAGAUUGAAUGGUAGCCUCCAAAGUGAGAAGUCAGGAUCUAAAGUCCAGGGAUACAGCAUGCUGACUUCAGAUAAUACUGU
This is a non-coding RNA of Zootermopsis nevadensis, 803 nucleotides long. NCBI's taxonomy places the organism in Eukaryota, Metazoa, Arthropoda, Insecta, Blattodea, Termopsidae. The record is from RefSeq and is a predicted model, not a curated record.